Molecule: ribosomal RNA, 229 nt
Filed under: uncultured bacterium
Lineage: Bacteria
Description: partial 16S ribosomal RNA
Rfam family: Bacterial small subunit ribosomal RNA
Source: RNAcentral
UGCGUAGGCGGGCUAAUAUGUCAGUGGUGAAAUCUCUCGGCUCAACCGGGAAACUGCCAUUGAUACUGUUAGUCUUGAGUUCGGUUGAGGUAGGCGGAAUGUGUAAUGUAGCGGUGAAAUGCUUAGAUAUUACACAGAACACCAAUUGCGUAGGCAGCUUACUAGACCGACACUGACGCUGAGGCACGAAAGCGUGGGGAGCGAACAGGAUUAGAUACCCUGGUAGUCC